GGAGGGAUCAUUAAAACGUAUCCACGUAUAAACCUUUGUGAACUUGUUUAACACUAAACAAUACCGAAUUUGAAUGAUGGCGCGCCAGACUGUAGGAGCAAUCAGGAGUAGUUCUUUUACGGUUAGCUAUCAUUCGGGUCUCCUAUUUUUACAACUAUUAUUCACCCUAUUUAAACUUUAUUGUACUAACGAGUUCAACGCUAACGCGUUCUACUUGAAAAAUAAGAAAUUAACGCACAACUCUUAGCAACGGAUAUCUAGGCUCUCGUAUCGAUGAAGAACGCAGCGAAAUGCGAUACGUAAUGCGAAUUGCAGAAUUCAGUGAAUCAUCAAAUCUUUGAACGCAACUUGCGCUUUUGGGUAUCCCUGAAAGCAUACCUCUCUGAGUAUCGUUUCACCACCACAUCGACUGCGUACGUUCUUUCGAGAGCAUACGCUUUGUUCGGAAAAUGAGUCGUCUCAGCGCCUUACGGCACACUGAGUCACUUGAAAUGCAUCACCACUUCCGUAAUCAGAUACGACUGAGGCCGCAAGGUUCUCACUAUUUGAUGUUCGAUAAUUGACCUUUGGUCAUUACACUAUCACAUCGAGUAGUAGUAUGUAUGAUAUGGGGAGCGGUUAACACAAGGAACCCUGAAUGAAUGAGUAGAGGGCGGUGAGAAAGUGGCGUUCGCGCCUCGUUUUUACUUCUCUCUAUCUCUCAAUUCUUGAUCUUGAUCUCAGAUGAAGUAAGAGAACCCGCCGAAUUUAAGCAUAUUAUUAAGCGGAGGAAAAGAAACUAACAAGGAUUCCCCUAGUAACGGCGAGUGAAGCGGGAAGAGCUCAAAGUUAAAAUCGGGGCACCUAGCGGUGCUUCCGAGUUGUAAUCUAGAGAUGCAUCGUCAGCUUCGACCCGGGUAUAAAUCUUUUGAAACAAGGUGUCAUAGAGGGUGAGAAUCCCGUCUUUGACCCGGAGUUCGGGGCGUACGACAUGUAUUCAAAGAGUCGAAUAGCUUGGGAAUGCUGUUCUAAAUGGGUGGUAAAUUUCAUCUAAAGCUAAAUAUCGACGAGAGACCGAUAGCGAACAAGUACCGUGAGGGAAAGAUGAAAAGAACUUUGAAAAGAGAGUUAAAAAGUACCUGAAAUUGUUAAGAAGGAAGCACUGGAAACCAGUUAUACCUUUUAUACAUAGGCACUGCGUUGGUGAGAGGGCAAUUCGGUAUCUCAUAGAGCCGACCACACCUUAAAGCUAGCGCAGUGUUCUCGUAUGAGGGGGAAGUCAGGAUCAGGUAGUUUCGCCGAAGAAAGCUAGCGGAAGGUAGUCAAUUGGUAGCGAUAUCAGUUGAAACUUAUAGCCGCUGGUCAAACGGUGGAGCUGCCUGAGGAAUCACGACAAUGCGCUCCGCAAGGCUGCUGGUGGGAUCUCCUUUCUGGCCGUGACUUUGGAGGACAAAGUCCUGUAGAGGUCACGGUUGGUUACUGGGGUUUCACUUGACCGCGCAUUCGCGAUCUUGACGAAAUGGUUUUCAUUGACCCGUCUUGAAACACGGACCAAGGAGUCUAACAUAUAUGCGAGUAUUUGGGUCUAAAAACCCUGAUGCGCAAUGAAAGUGAAGCUAGUCUUGUACUAGUGAGGUAGGAACCGCAAGGGGCACUAUCGACCGAUCGUUCAUUCAUGAAAGAUUUGAGUAAGAGCAUAUCUGUUGGGACCCGAAAGAUGGUGAACUAUGCCUGAUCAGGGUGAAGCAAGGGGAAACUCUGGUGGAGGCUCGUAGCGAUACUGACGUGCAAAUCGUUCGUCUGAAUUGGGUAUAGGGGCGAAAGACUAAUCGAACCAUCUAGUAGCUGGUUCCCGC
Molecule: unclassified non-coding RNA, 1835 nt
Filed under: uncultured fungus
Lineage: Eukaryota; Fungi
Description: sequence contains 18S rRNA gene, ITS1, 5.8S rRNA gene, ITS2, 28S rRNA gene
Rfam family: Eukaryotic large subunit ribosomal RNA (bases 715-1835)
Source: RNAcentral